UAGGGAAUAUUGGUCAAUGGGUGAGAGCCUGAACCAGCCAUGCCGCGUGCAGGAAGACGGCCUUAUGGGUUGUAAACUGCUUUAGCCAGGGGCUAAAAUACUCGUGCGCGAGGGAUUGAAAGUACCUGGAUAAUAAGCCACGGCUAACUACGUGCCAGCAGCCGCGGUAAUACGUAGGUGGCGAGCGUUGUCCGGAUUUAUUGGGUUUAAAGGGUGCGUAGGCGGCCUUAUAAGUCAGUGCUGAAAUAUCCCGGCUUAACCGGGAGGGUGGCAUUGAUACUGUAGGGCUUGAGUACAGAUGAGGUAGGCGGAAUUGACGGUGUAGCGGUGAAAUGCAUAGAUAUCGUCAAGAACACCGAUAGCGAAGGCAGCUUACUAAGUUGUAACUGACGCUGAGGCA
This 400-nucleotide ribosomal RNA is filed under the name uncultured bacterium. Its description in RNAcentral is "bacterial SSU rRNA". It matches the Rfam family "Bacterial small subunit ribosomal RNA", at positions 355 to 753 of the family's 1533-position model. The record is from RNAcentral.